UACAGAGGUCCCCAAGCGUUGUUCGGAUUCACUGGGCGUAAAGGGUGCGCAGGUGGUUCGGCAAGUUCGAUGUGAAAGCCCCGGGCUUAACCCGGGAAUGGCAUUGAAAACUGCCGGACUGGAGGGUCGGAGGGGGGACUGGAAUUCUUGGUGUAGCAGUGAAAUGCGUAGAUAUCAAGAGGAACACCAGUGGCGAAGGCGAGUCCCUGGACGAUACCUGACACUGAGGCACGAAAGCCAAGGGAGCAAACAGGAUUAGAAACCCUGGUAGU
Molecule: ribosomal RNA, 272 nt
Filed under: uncultured bacterium
Lineage: Bacteria
Description: partial 16S ribosomal RNA
Rfam family: Bacterial small subunit ribosomal RNA
Source: RNAcentral